UCCCUCCGCCGCGUCCCGGGCCCCGCCCUGCCCGCUGGGCUAGCGGGACAAGACUGCGGGGCGGGCCGCGGGGAGGCGCAGGCGGGCCGGCCUCCGUAGGGACCGCGCGACUCUCCCGGCUGAGCUCUGAACCCGGCGCGCCCUGCCGUGUCCCAUCCGGGAAGGCGUGAAAAGAGAGAACGAGUAGAUCAGCCUGAAAGUUGCGGGGCAGCGCGGGUCCGUGGUGCAGUUCAAAAUGAAGCGGCUCGCCCCGCUGGGCAAGCUCAUGAAGGCGUACUGCGGGCUCAGUUAAGAGACGGAAGAUGAAGACACGAUCAAUGUGUUCCAGCAGCAGACAGGUGGAGGGUGCUAAGACACGCUGUCCUUUGGAGAAAGAGGAGUUUCAGGAUCCUCAUCUCACCUGACUCUCUCAUCUGUCCUCGAAUUUGCUAUUUUAAUAGUGAACAAAUGAGCAUUCCAAUCACACGGGGCUCCUCAAAACUUCAGAGGACAUUUACCAAAGUUGCUUGUUGCCUUUGACAUUCUGCAUGCACAAGUCAAAACAGUAUCUGCAGGGAUGGAUCAGCAUUUGAAUUGGGCCAGCUUGAUUUAAGUUCAGAUUAACUCAUGCGUAUUCUCUCUGCUGUUAUUUUUUUUAAUUGUUUUUACUAUAUUUAUUUUCUUUCUUUAAACCUAUAGCCUGAACAUUCAUCCAUGUGUUGGGACGUGGAGCGUUCAUUCCUGGCUCUGUUCAGUCUUGCACCUCUGUUUAACUCAAAUUAUGUAAAUCAGUGUAUUUUCAUGCUAGUUUUGAGCAUGAAAGUUUACUUUUAGGAGGCACCCAAGAGGAGGAACAGAGGUACUGGUUUUAAGUUCUUAGCUCGUGUUGCAAACGCAGUCGGUCCCUUGGGUGGCACUGAGCCCUCGGCACAGGCUGGAACAUGAGACAAUACUUACAGUAGAGUUCAAAUACUGAAGGUUUACAUGUGUUUUGUCAUGUUAUGAUAAAGGUGUCCAAAAUAUACUUUUUUUAUGCA
This is a long non-coding RNA of Lepidothrix coronata (blue-crowned manakin), 1016 nucleotides long. RefSeq lists it as uncharacterized. The record is from RefSeq and is a predicted model, not a curated record. The transcript has 2 exons. Lineage: Eukaryota; Metazoa; Chordata; Aves; Passeriformes; Pipridae.